AUAUCCCAAUCAACUUGAUUAUAUAAUUUUGGAUGAAUAUGGCCUAUCACCAAACUCCAUUGACCAGAGACGUGAAUGUUGAUAUUGUGAGCUUUCACCCAAGAACUCAUGAAUUCUUUGCUUGGUCGAAUCUCUUGAUUGGAACCAUCUGUUGCUUCCUUUGUGAUCGGAAAAAAAAAAAACCCAAUUAUGGUAGCCGAGCUCCUUCUUGCAGCAUUCCUUCGGGUGCUGCUUCAGAAAUUGACCCUUCGCGCCUUCAUCGCCUCUUUAGGAAAAGAGGGAAUCGGAAAAAAGGUGAACAAAUGGGAGAAAACAUUGUCUGCAAUUGAAGCGGUCUUGUGUGAUGCGGAAGAGAAGCAACAAACAAGCAGGGCUGUGAAACUAUGGUUGGAUGAUCUCAAAGACUUGGCUUAUGAUGUGGAGGACAUCCUGGACAAGUUUUACACUGAAAUGUUACGACGCAAAGUGAAUAAGCCAAAUCAGGCUGGAGUCUGUAAGGUACGGGGCCUCUUUCCUAGACUUAAAUUGCACUUCAAUAUGAAGCAUGAAAUACAGGAAAUGACUGAUCGAUUAGAUGAAAUAUCUGAACGAAAAGACAGGCUCGGUUUAAUAGAUAUUGGGGAUAUUCCAGACAAGAGUCGGCCACCAAGUUCACGUGUGUUAGAUGGCGUGCCUGUUGUUGGAAGAGACAGUGAUAGAGGGAAGAUUGUUGAAUUUCUUUUAAGAAACAACCCUAAUGAUGCCAACUUUGAGGUAGCUGCCAUUGUUGGCAUGCCUGGGAUUGGGAAGACAACACUUGCUCAGUAUGUAAUUAAUGAUAACAGUGACAUCCUCAAAGAGUUCGAUCUUAAGAUAUGGGUAUGUGUGUCUAAUGACUUCAAAGUCUUGAGGGUAACAAAAGCAAUCCUAGAAUCAGUCACGUCUAAGCAUUGUGAUUUGGACCAAUUCAGUAACAUCCAGAAUCAUCUGUGUAAAGUAUUAACAGGUAAGAAGUUCUUACUUGUUUUAGAUGAUGUCUGGAGCACCUGUAACUAUGAUCAGUGGAAGAUGCUGCAAUCCCCCUUUCAUGUUGGAGCAUCGGGAAGUAAGAUAAUUGUAACGACACGGGAUGUGGAAGUUACCAAGAUGAUGAGAGCCGCUGAAGUUCACAGUUUGAUGGGUAUAUCAAAUGAUGAUUGUUGGAAAGUGUUUGAGCAACAUGCCUAUUUUAAUGUUGACAAUGGCAUACCACAAAAUUUCAGGUUACUUCAGGAGAAAAUAAUUGCAAAAUGUGGUGGAUUACCCCUGGCAGCGAGGACUCUUGGUGGCCUUUUUGGUUGUAAGGAAAUAACUGAAUGGGAAAAAAUGUUGGACAACAAAUUAUGGCUUUCAGAUAAGAGUGACAUUCUUCCAGUUUUACAAUUGAGUUAUUAUUAUCUCCCGUCAAAAUUGAAAAGAUGCUUUGCCUAUUGCUCAAUACUUCCAAAGGACUAUGAAUUUGGGGAGACACAGUUGAUCCUUCUAUGGAUGGCAGAGGGCUUGAUUGAGAAACCACUCAAACCAGAAGAUAGUAGACAUUUGGAAGAUGUAGCGAGUGAAUAUUUCAGUGAGCUACUAUCUAGGUCAUUGUUUCAAAAAUCGAGCAAAAAAAAUUCAAGAUACGUAAUGCAUAACCUUGUUAGUGAUAUGGCACAUAAGGUUGCAGGAGAAAUUUGUUUUCGAUUGGAGGAUAAGCUGGAUGGUAGCUGUUCUCCAAAGUCUCGUCAUUUGUCUUACAUUACUGGGAGGUAUGAUGGGGUUAAAAGAUUUGGUGCUGUUUCUGAGGUACACCGUUUGCGGACUUUCCUACCACUUACAAUUUCAGAUGACCCAUGCAAUUACUUGACUAGUAAGGUUACUCUUGGCUUACUACCAAAGUUGCAAUACUUGCGGGUGCUCUCUUUGAAUGGUUAUCGUAUAAGUCAGCUGCCAAACUCCAUUGGUGAAUUGAAGUUUCUGCGGUACCUGGAUCUUUCUCACACAGAAAUAACAAGUUUGCCUGAAUCAGCAAGCACACUUUACAAUUUGCAGACGUUGAUAUUAGAGAGUUGUUAUAGUUUGAAGGCACUACCUACAAACAUGAAGAAUCUAAUUAAUCUUCGUCAUCUGAGCAAUUCUAAUACACCUCUGUUGGAAGGAAUGCCUGCACAACUAGGUCAGUUGACUAAUUUGCAAACACUGUGCAAUUUUGUAGUGGGCAGAGGAAGCAAUUCGGGGAUAAGAGAGAUAGAGCCCCUAUUGCAUCUUCGAGGAACAUUGCGCCUUUCAAGAUUGGAGAAUGUGAAUGACAUUGAGGAUGCAAAGAGGGCCGACUUUGUUAGCAAGGAGGGUCUUGAGGCUUUUCUACUAGAAUGGGGUGGCCUAGGAGAAAAAGAACUAGAGCUGCUCAACAUGUUAGAGCCUCAUAGAAAGCUCAAAGUUCUUAGUAUCAAGGGCUACGGUGGUUUGGAAUUUUCAACAUGGAUGGGACAUCAUUUAUUCUCUAAUAUGACAGUUGUAAGGUUGGAGGAUUGUAAAAACUGUGGUUUGUUGCCACCACUUGGUCAGUUGCCUUCUCUUAGAAAGCUUAUUAUAAAAAGAAUGUAUAGGGUGGAAAGUGUUGGUCCAGAGUUUUAUGGAAAUGAUAACUUGCCCUUUCCACUGUUAGAGAUCCUUGAGUUUGAGGAGAUGAAAGAUUGGAAAGAGUGGGUUUCACUUGAACGGGAUCAAGGAAUUGGAGCUUUCCCUUGCCUAAAAAUGCUUUCCAUUUCCAGAUGUCCAAAGUUGGAGGGUAGGUUACCCAAGAAUCUUGCUUUAUUAUCAGAGCUUGUGAUUCGUGGAUGCGAGCAGUUGGUUGUUUCCAUUGCCAACUAUAAACAACUUCAGAGAUUUGAUAUUUGUGAUUGCAAAGGGGUGGUCGAUGGAAGUGUAUCUGAGUUUCAGUUGCUGGAGGCCUUGAAGCCAUCUUAUAUUUCGGAGUUCAGACUCCAUACAAAGGACUUUCUGAGAGGAUUAAAGAAGCUUGAUGGUUUGACUAUUAAUUACAGUGAGGAGCUCACAUCUUUCUGGAAGAACGAGAUUUCUCUUCGUUGUUUGUACAUCAGAGGCAGCACACACUUCCACUUUGUUCAACAGCUUGCAUCACUUCAAGUGCUUCACAUAUAUGACUGCUCAACUCUAUUUUCUUUCCAAGAGUUUGAUUUGCCACCUUCUCUAAAAGAGUUAAAGAUUGAACAGUGCAGUUCUCUUGUGCACUUUGCAAGGCGCCAGAUGCCUUCAAAUCUAAGAAGAAUAGAGAUUUUGUUAUGUGAAAAAUUCAAAUCAUUAUUAGAAGAGGAGGUUAAUGCUUCUCCAUCAUCUUGUUCUCUUUAUUUGAUGCAUGACGAGGUCUCUUGUCUUGAGUAUUUGAGUAUAGAGGAGUGCUCAUCUCUCAGGUCUUUAUCAUUUAGAGGCCAUCUACCCCAGGGGCUGAAAUACCUUCACAUAAGUGAUUGUGAACAACUUCAGUCGAUAGCUAGUAGGUUCCAUGGUAGCAGUUGUCUCGAAUAUAUAAGGAUCUGGCAUUGCGGAAGUCUUAAACAUUUACCAGAGGGCCUAUGCCUCCUAACCAAUCUUCAAGAGUUAGGUAUUUAUGAUUGUGGAAGUCUUGUUUCCUUUCCAGGAGAAGGUUUUCCUAGAAGUGUCUCCAACCUGAGAGAGAUUGACAUAAGCUAUUGCACUAAACUGGAAACCUUACCUAAAGGCAUGUAUCACCUCAAAUCCCUUCAGCGAUUGGAGAUUUCUUACUCUGAAGAUUUCGCAUCCUUUCUUGAAGAGGGUUUUCCCCUCUAUCUAACAUCACUUACCAUUCUACAUGUCAAGAGCUGUAAGCCACUCUUCGACUGGGGGUUAUACAGACUAACCUCUCUUAGAGAACUUGAAGUUGGUGGUGAAGAUCUAAAUCUGGUGUCAUUUCCGCCUGAGAAUGAGAUUGUUCUGCCGAAAUCUCUAGUUCAACUGGCAGUUCAUGACUUCCCAAAUCUCACUAAACUCACCAAGGGCUUCCAACUUCUAACCUCUCUCCAAUCUCUUCAAAUCGAGGGGUGUCCUAAGCUAGCAUCCAUUCCAUAUGAGGGUAUGCCUCUUUCACUUAUACAACUUACUAUCUACCACUGUCCGCUUCUAAGCAAGAGAUGUAAACCUGGUAAAGGAAGGUUCUGGCCCUCGAUUGCCCACAUUCCAUACAUACGGAUUCAAGAUAAUGUGCAGACAACAACUCCAAGUUCAUAGUUCGUCCCUCCAGAUUGCCAGUCAAGAUUAUGAUGGCCAAUGAGUUAUUUAAGCAUGCCUCUAGCAUUUCAGGGUGUUGAAGUUCUGGUAAGAAUCAAGUGAUUCUGCAAAAAACUGGAUUCUUGAAGCUUGUUGUGGGAUUUUGCACAAUUGUUGAAGGUCAGCUGGUUUAGUGCGGUUGUGGGAACAGAGAAGGCUUCUGAACUAGAGGAGCAAAUUUUUUUGAUGCUCUGUUGCAUAUGAAAACUGGGGCUGAAGCUGUCGGGGCCACUGGAACUCUUAAAGGGCGUUAGAGCAGAAGAAUGUAUGUGCAGUUGUUCAGGAAAGCAUGAUAGUAUCCUCAUCUUGGCCGUAUUUAUAAUCACUCGGUCAAAAAAUGCUAUUCAAUACAGAAAAGCCGAAGAAUGUAUGUGUGUGCAGUUGUUCAAGAGCCGAGGUCCAAGAGGGUCAUUCUAGCCUAAAAUCAUUGAGCGCUGGAGAGCAACGCCUGAAUAUAUCUUUGGCCGUGUUUUAUAGCAUCAUGCACUAACAGGGGAGCAUAGUACGUAUCACAAACUUCUGAUAUGUCACCCAGCAUGUUUGGUGUUUAUACAGAUAUUGAUGUCACUUCUUAGUGUGUUCUUGCAAGUCUUCGUGCUCCUUAUCAGUCGUAUGAUUAUAUGAGAGUAAAAAUAGAAUAGAAAAGAAUUGACAAUUUGACAACUAUGGUGCAAAGGUGACGUUCUGAGUGUAUUGUGUAAGUAAAGGUUGUAAUUGUA
Molecule: RNA transcript, 5024 nt
Organism: Rosa chinensis
Lineage: Eukaryota; Viridiplantae; Streptophyta; Magnoliopsida; Rosales; Rosaceae
Gene name: putative disease resistance RPP13-like protein 1
Exons: 5
Source: RefSeq, a predicted model, not a curated record